CGCACAUUGCGCCCUCUGGUAUUCCGGGGGGCACGCCUGUUCGAGCGUCAUUGAAUAAAUCAAGCUCGGCUUGGUAUUGGGUGACUCUCCUCCCGGGGAGUUCCCGAAAUACAGCGGCUCGGUCGUACCGGAGAAGAACGCACUGGGAUUAUUCUAAAUCAUCGUUCUUGCCUCUCGGGCGUCCCGUCGCCGGCGAAACCGUACACCGGCAUUUGCCCGGGGUACGCUCCUAAGAAUUGACCUCGGAUCAGGUGGAAAUACCCGCUGAACUUAA
Molecule: unclassified non-coding RNA, 274 nt
Filed under: Coenogonium luteum
Lineage: Eukaryota; Fungi; Ascomycota; Lecanoromycetes; Ostropales; Coenogoniaceae
Description: partial contains 5.8S ribosomal RNA, internal transcribed spacer 2, and large subunit ribosomal RNA
Source: RNAcentral